Non-coding RNA from Schistosoma margrebowiei, 45 nucleotides. NCBI's taxonomy places the organism in Eukaryota, Metazoa, Platyhelminthes, Trematoda, Strigeidida, Schistosomatidae. The record is from Rfam.
AUUCAGAUAACGAGUCCCAAAUAAAAGGAAACGCGCGUCCUUAAU